RNAcentral lists this microRNA (22 nucleotides) under Populus tomentosa. RNAcentral's name for it is "Pto-N26". Lineage: Eukaryota; Viridiplantae; Streptophyta; Magnoliopsida; Malpighiales; Salicaceae. The record is from RNAcentral.
AGGACAAAACCACUGGCAAAGA